CAUGGUAUUUAUUAGUUCAAAGCAUUCAACAUACAAGCAGCUAGAAGGAAACUGUAUGACAUGCCGAGAAGGUCAAUAAUUACACCAAUGCUCUUAGAUCAAGGCCUCGAACGCAUCUACUCGCUUGUGAACAAUGUUUACAUGCUGCUGCAUAAAUAACUGAUCUGACAAUGAGUUAAAAACCUUAACAUGUCAACUUCAAGGUCAUCUAAAUUCUACAGUCUCAUAGUUAAUCAAUCUAACUGGGGCAAGGAGAGACCCAAAACAGUUUAGUAUUACAGUAGGAAUCAGUGUGAAGCAAACUUUUUCGACAGCGACAGGAUGGCCUAAAAAUUUAAGAGAAAAUUUUACCAAAUGAGCAAAUGUGUCGCAAUCAACCAUGAUCAAAGACAAUCAGACCUAAUUUCACCGUAUCCGAAUAAGUAAACAUAAAGUACACGCACAUAAACAUACUCAUACACAAACACGCGUAUACAUACAGAAUGGUACACAAUGUCAUGUCUGUAAUCUUGCAAUCAAGGGGCAAUUCCAU
RNAcentral lists this long non-coding RNA (532 nucleotides) under Panax ginseng (ginseng). RNAcentral's name for it is "long non-coding RNA (PGIN_LNC006747)". Lineage: Eukaryota; Viridiplantae; Streptophyta; Magnoliopsida; Apiales; Araliaceae. The record is from RNAcentral.